GUUUGCUAAAAGAAAGCUAUAAGAUACCCGAUUGCUGGCAAGAGAGACUUCUGGUUAAGGAAUCUCUCAAGUUAACCAGAAGUCGAGUCAGUGAGUUCCACGCGCGGGCGACUUCUCUCUCAAACCCAGUCAACUGCCAAACCCUAUAUCUGCUUUCCUCUGCCUCUCCGGCGUGCUUUUCCGGCGUCGGAGAGGGCUUUGCCUUUUGUUUUUUCUUCUGGUCUUUCUCCUCUGUCCGUUGUUUCCGUUCGUGGUGGGUGAUGGCUCGCCGUAUCCUUACCUUCUCGUCCUCCAGGUGGUGGUAAAUCAAAGCUCAGGCUUCGCGUAGUGGCUAGGAUAGACGCCGCGGCUUGUUGUUGCUUCGAAUUGUGGCUCGAGGAGACCUCGUUUCGAUGGCUUUCAGAUGGUUGCUUUUAGUGGUCGUCCCUCUGUGCGUGUUAGAUCUGAGAGUUUGGUUUGUGGUUGUGGCUUUGUGGAGACAGCGGAGGGGCUCCGGACUUCCUUCACGGUGGUUAGCUCCGGCGAAUUUGUAUUUUGGAUGGUUCCGUGUCAUCUGAUUUCAGAUUCUCGCCUCUUUGGUUUUGGGUUGGUGUCCGCUUCUCACCAGAAAUCUCGGUUUGGGGAGUUUGGUGAAGCAGCAUGUGGUGAUUGGCUCGAUUUCUUCUUCCUCGCCAUGGAAAGGGCUUGGUCUGGUUCUUUGUCGACGGAUCUAGAAUUGGCCUUCUCUUUCUCGAGGCGCGGUACGGUGGUUUGGCGAGGCAUCAAAUCUGAGGUCGUCAUGAUGUCACCCAAUGGCAGCGAGGACUUGAGGACUAGUCUGGGGUCAUUGUGUGGCUGAUCUUCUUCGGCUUUUAAUGCUUUGCGAGGUUAUGGAGGAGCUAGUAAGAUCAUUGGGUCGUUUGGUGCUGUUUCGUAUUGUAAUAUUUUCGCUCUGUGCUAGCCGACUACGAGGUUGUACUUGGUAGAGGGAGCUAGUGCUAAACGUGUACAUUGGUUCGUGUGGCUCCAUCCUGAGAUCGCUCAUGGUUUCGCCGUUGACAGCUCAGUCCUUGGGCUUCCAGUGAAAGGCUUCCACUACUUUGGCUUUCGUUUUUGCAAUCUUUUCAAUAUUUCAUUACCGUCUUUCGUCUUCUGUAGCUCAUUUCGGAGGAACUUCAGAAUCGUGUAUCACUUCAUCUGACACCGUUUGCUUCAAGGCUUACGUUGAGUCGAUGGACUGAUUGUUUUUGCUUCCAUGUUUUUAUCUUUUUUUUUUGCCAUGGGACCAAAUUUUUUAGGUUUAAAAUCGAUGAUUGUAAACCUAAACAUUUCAUUUUAAUGAAUAUUUACAUUCUUAGCAAAAAAAAAAA
Arabidopsis lyrata subsp. lyrata is the source of this 1349-nucleotide long non-coding RNA. RefSeq lists it as uncharacterized. NCBI's taxonomy places the organism in Eukaryota, Viridiplantae, Streptophyta, Magnoliopsida, Brassicales, Brassicaceae. The record is from RefSeq and is a predicted model, not a curated record. The transcript has 2 exons.